GUUCACUCUGGGUGGGGUGACUGUUCUGUGGUCAUGAGCUAGGGGCCCUGCCUGGUGAAGAUUGGGAGUGGGGGUUCCCAGGGAAGAGGGGCUAGACUCCUCUUUGUAUGGUGGCUAUGGUGUGCUGGAGGUGCCUGGGUAGUGCCUUUUAUCCUUUCCCCAGGCUGAGAGCUGUUAGGGCAGUAGCACUGCAAUUGCAGUGGCACAGGGGUUGUGGUUUGACUCUAAGAUUUCCUCCUUGGAGAAAUGCUGGUCUGCCUCUGUGGUGAUCAGACAGAGGCAGAGUGGUUGUGCUGGAGUCCCAGGUUGGAUAGCCCUCCCCAGUGAGAAGUGUGGACCGGGACCGGGACCGGGACCUGUAUGGAGAACAAUCUGGUAACUUUUCCAUGAGGUCCCUGUUCAGACCUGGGCUAUGGCAUGAAAAGCAUGGUGUCCACUGUUUCGUAUCCAUUUGCUCAUUUGGUCAGUUGUAAGGUGCAGCGCAACUGCUGGGAAGGUGGAACUGGAGAUGCAGGCAGUCCUCCCUGGAGCCCCAAAGAGCAAGUAGCUAGGCUGAGAGGCUAAAAAGAAUGAAAGAUUACAGCAAAAUGUCAAGAAGUGGUAAAGGAGGGCUGGAGGCACAAGAACAUUUACAUCUCACGCUGCUGACAGGCAGCCAGCUGGUGAUGGUGCCUCAGAGCAGCCAUGCAGAGAGAAAACCACCUCAGAGCAUGGGAGGCUGGUGGGAUCACAGGCCACCAUGCUCCUGGCAAGGAUGCGAUGAGAAUAGUGGAUUUGGAGAACAGCAAAUCCGCCACCUUGAAUAUCACUGACAGAACUCUGCAAAUAGACAUUGAAUAAACUUGGAGAAGAGGGUCAUGUGGAUCCUUCCAAAACACUUUCUCCAUGUGAUUUUCCUGAAGAGGAAUUAGCCAAAGAAGAUAAGGACCUGGAUCUCCCACACAACUGAGACAAUGCACAGGCAUACAAAAUUGGGGUUAAUAAGGGUGAGUUAUCCCAAAAAAAUACGGUAGCCUGCUCAGACAAGCACUCUGGUUGAGGGUAUCAAGUUUGUAUUCUUAAUUCCUGGAAUGUUGUCAAUUAAUGUCAAGUAAUCACCAAAUAAAAUCUGAGUCAACUGGAACAGAGACUUAAGCUACCUCAUGCUAUAGACAAAUUUAUUUGGCAUAAGAUUGAUGGAGCGCAUGAAAUUCACUCACCUCAUCAAGCCAGGAUUUCAAAAGUCAAAAUAUUUUUCAGGUUAGAGUGAGAAUCCCCUGAAAGGUGAUGAGGGAUGGCUGGAAUUAACCCAGUAGUACAUAUCAGGGCUGAGGGAACAAAGCUACAAUACAAUCCAUCUGAGGAGGAAAUUUUCCCUUAGGUUAGGGAAAUAACAUUAAUUAGAAUAUUUAUGUUGGGUUUAGGUUAUAAAUUCAGGCAUAGAAAUUUCUCUUUCCAUCCCCACCCAAUGAUAUCUGAGGAAUAUGAAAAAUAUAGGCCAGUAAUGAUUAAAAUUGUGGAUGUCAUCUGUUGAGGUCCUCUCAAACCCUGUGACAGUGACACUGGGAACAAUUCAUUUGGAAGAGAAUUAGGUAACACAUGCCCUUUGACCUACAGGUUCCAUUUCUUUUAUUAUUAUUAUUAUUAUACUUUAAAUUUUAGGGUACACG
RNAcentral lists this long non-coding RNA (1649 nucleotides) under Homo sapiens (human). Its description in RNAcentral is "HSALNT0147268". Lineage: Eukaryota; Metazoa; Chordata; Mammalia; Primates; Hominidae. The record is from RNAcentral.